UUAAGCGACCAAGCGUACACGGUGGAUGCCCUGGCAGUCAGAGGCGAUGAAGGACGUGCUAAUCUGCGAAAAGCGCCGGUAAGGUGAUAUGAACCGCUACAGCCGGCGAUGUCCGAAUGGGGAAACCCAGUGUGAUUCGUCACACUAUCGUUAAGUGAAUCCAUAGCUUAACGAGGCGAACCGGGGGAACUGAAACAUCUAAGUACCCCGAGGAAAAGAAAUCAACCGAGAUUCCCCCAGUAGCGGCGAGCGAACGGGGAGCAGCCCAGAGCCUGCAUCAGCUUGUGUGUUAGUGGAAGCGUCUGGAAAGGCGCACGGUACAGGGUGACAGUCCCGUACACAAAAGCACACAGGCUGUGAGCUCGAUGAGUAGGGCGGGACACGUGGUAUCCUGUCUGAAUAUGGGGGGACCAUCCUCCAAGGCUAAAUACUCCUGACUGACCGAUAGUGAACCAGUACCGUGAGGGAAAGGCGAAAAGAACCCCGGCGAGGGGAGUGAAACAGAACCUGAAACCGUGUACGUACAAGCAGUGGGAGCACCUUCGUGGUGUGACUGCGUACCUUUUGUAUAAUGGGUCAGCGACUUAUAUUCUGUAGCAAGGUUAACCGCAUAGGGGAGCCGAAGGGAAACCGAGUCUUAACCGGGCGCUAAGUUGCAGGGUAUAGACCCGAAACCCGGUGAUCUAGCCAUGGGCAGGUUGAAGGUUGGGUAACACUAACUGGAGGACCGAACCGACUAAUGUUGAAAAAUUAGCGGAUGACCUGUGGCUGGGGGUGAAAGGCCAAUCAAACCGGGAGAUAGCUGGUUCUCCCCGAAAGCUAUUUAGGUAGCGCCUCGUGAAUUCAUCUCCGGGGGUAGAGCACUGUUUCGGCUAGGGGGCCAUCCCGGCUUACCAACCCGAUGCAAACUGCGAAUACCGGAGAAUGUUAUCACGGGAGACACACGGCGGGUGCUAACGUCCGUCGUGAAGAGGGAAACAACCCAGACCGCCAGCUAAGGUCCCAAAGUCAUGGUUAAGUGGGAAACGAUGUGGGAAGGCCCAGACAGCCAGGAUGUUGGCUUAGAAGCAGCCAUCAUUUAAAGAAAGCGUAAUAGCUCACUGGUCGAGUCGGCCUGCGCGGAAGAUGUAACGGGGCUAAACCAUGCACCGAAGCUGCGGCAGCGAACGUGAGUUCGUUGGGUAGGGGAGCGUUCUGUAAGCCGUCGAAGGUGUGCUGUGAGGCAUGCUGGAGGUAUCAGAAGUGCGAAUGCUGACAUAAGUAACGAUAAAGCGGGUGAAAAGCCCGCUCGCCGGAAGACCAAGGGUUCCUGUCCAACGUUAAUCGGGGCAGGGUGAGUCGACCCCUAAGGCGAGGCCGAAAGGCGUAGUCGAUGGGAAACGGGUUAAUAUUCCCGUACUCGGCGUUACUGCGAAGGGGGGACGGAGAAGGCUAUGUUGGCCGGGCGACGGUUGUCCCGGUUUAAGCGUGUAGGCUGAGCAUCCAGGCAAAUCCGGAUGCUUAAGGCUGAGGCGUGACGACGAGGCGCUACGGCGCUGAAGCAACAAAUGCCCUGCUUCCAGGAAAAGCCUCUAAGCAUCAGGUAACGCGGAAUCGUACCCCAAACCGACACAGGUGGUCAGGUAGAGAAUACCAAGGCGCUUGAGAGAACUCGGGUGAAGGAACUAGGCAAAAUGGUGCCGUAACUUCGGGAGAAGGCACGCUGGCGCGUAGGUGAGGGGACUUGCUCCCGGAGCCGAGGCCAGUCGAAGAUACCAGCUGGCUGCAACUGUUUAUUAAAAACACAGCACUGUGCAAACACGAAAGUGGACGUAUACGGUGUGACGCCUGCCCGGUGCCGGAAGGUUAAUUGAUGGGGUCAGCCGCAAGGCGAAGCUCCUGAUCGAAGCCCCGGUAAACGGCGGCCGUAACUAUAACGGUCCUAAGGUAGCGAAAUUCCUUGUCGGGUAAGUUCCGACCUGCACGAAUGGCGUAAUGAUGGCCAGGCUGUCUCCACCCGAGACUCAGUGAAAUUGAACUCGCUGUGAAGAUGCAGUGUACCCGCGGCAAGACGGAAAGACCCCGUGAACCUUUACUACAGCUUGACACUGAACACCGGUCCUUGAUGUGCAGGAUAGGUGGGAGGCUUUGAAGCGCGGACGCCAGUCCGCGUGGAGCCGCCCUUGAAAUACCACCCUUUAAUGGCUGGUGUUCUAACGCUGGCCCGUAAUCCGGGCUGCGGACAGUGUCUGGUGGGUAGUUUGACUGGGGCGGUCUCCUCCCAAAGCGUAACGGAGGAGUACGAAGGUCAGCUAAUCACGGUCGGACAUCGUGAGGUUAGUGCAAUGGCAUAAGCUGGCUUGACUGCGAGCGUGACGGCGCGAGCAGGUGCGAAAGCAGGUCAUAGUGAUCCGGUGGUUCUGAAUGGAAGGGCCAUCGCUCAACGGAUAAAAGGUACUCCGGGGAUAACAGGCUGAUACCGCCCAAGAGUUCAUAUCGACGGCGGUGUUUGGCACCUCGAUGUCGGCUCAUCACAUCCUGGGGCUGAAGUAGGUCCCAAGGGUAUGGCUGUUCGCCAUUUAAAGUGGUACGCGAGCUGGGUUUAGAACGUCGUGAGACAGUUCGGUCCCUAUCUGCCGUGGGCGCUGGAAGACUGAGAGGGGUUGCUCCUAGUACGAGAGGACCGGAGUGAACGCACCGCUGGUGUUCGGGUUGUCAUGCCAAUGGCACUGCCCGGUAGCUACGUGCGGAAGAGAUAAGUGCUGAAAGCAUCUAAGCACGAAACUUGCCUCGAGAUGAGUCUUCCCUGAGGCCUUUGAGCCUCCUGAAGGGACGUUGAAGACGACGACGUUGAUAGGCCGGGUGUGUAAGCGCAGCGAUGCGUUGAGCUGACCGGUACUAAUGACCCGUGAGGCUUAACCUU
Molecule: ribosomal RNA, 2902 nt
Filed under: Mixta theicola
Lineage: Bacteria; Pseudomonadati; Pseudomonadota; Gammaproteobacteria; Enterobacterales; Erwiniaceae
Description: 23S ribosomal RNA
Rfam family: Bacterial large subunit ribosomal RNA
Source: RNAcentral